UCUUAGAAAAUUCAAGAAUUAAUCCAUCGUUUUUUCCCCCUGAAUGAUGAACUGGAUUUGGAAGCCUCAAUGAAGAACGAAUGCUAAAACUCUCUCUCCUCAGGAAAAAAAAAAACUUAACUGGGGUAGAUUCUUCUCGCUCAUAUAAUGAUGAUUGCGAAUUUGAUUGCAAUAUAUCUUGGAAAUUGGCUAGAAACCAAGCAGUUUAACGACACCACAGUUAAGAAGGAAAUACCCUAGAUAUAUUUGGCAGACGUGGCUCAUUCCAACGACAUUAGAUUACUUGGAGGAAGGAGAUUUUAUUAACUUCACCAAAACUGCAGGCUUCUCACUGUAGACGAGCUCGAUCCCUUCUGGAGUAUCAUUUCAUUGCGCCUAACAGUGAUGAUUAAGAUCAAGCAAUCACUUUUAAACUCCACCACUGGAUACUGCCUCUCCAAAUCUCUAAUGCAAACAAAACACCCUCCAUGAGGGCAUAAGCUUCGGCUUAUAAAGGAGAAGAAACAUUAUACAAUGGUUUCGCCAUACAUAUGCAGUGCAGUCAUCUUUCUCAUUAACAUUCACACCUCCUUGUGAGACCAUUCAUAUUUAUUUUGAGUCUCCUGUAAAAACCAUAUACAUGCUCACAAUAUAUGCACACAAUCAUAAAAGGGA
Rosa chinensis is the source of this 654-nucleotide long non-coding RNA. RefSeq lists it as uncharacterized. NCBI's taxonomy places the organism in Eukaryota, Viridiplantae, Streptophyta, Magnoliopsida, Rosales, Rosaceae. The record is from RefSeq and is a predicted model, not a curated record. The transcript has 3 exons.